Long non-coding RNA from Macaca mulatta (Rhesus monkey), 8881 nucleotides. RefSeq lists it as uncharacterized. Lineage: Eukaryota; Metazoa; Chordata; Mammalia; Primates; Cercopithecidae. The record is from RefSeq and is a predicted model, not a curated record.
UGUGGGUGUGGGUGUGUGGAUGUGUAUACAUGCAUGUAUGUGGGUGUGGGUGUGUGUAUGUGUGGGUGUGCACUAGCAGGGGAUAUGCCGAGCAGGGAAACGUGACAAGGACCUGGCAGCAGUCCCAAGGGGUGAUGGUGGUGGCCUGGAUUCUGGUGGGCUGGGGGUGAGGAGCGGAUGGAUUCCAAGUUCGGGGGGCUUGGGCAGGACUGGGUGGUGGUUUGGAUGUGAGUUCAGAGGGGCUUGGGCAGGGCUGGAUGGUGGUUUGGAUGUGGCGGGGGCGGUGGGAGGAGGCAGCAAGUGUCUGCUGUGGGAACCCGGGUGGUUGAUGGGGGCUCAUUCUCUGAGGUGGGAGGGAGGAGCAGAUGGGGAAGGCAGUGAGUUCAGCCCUGUACCCGACAUGUGGGGCAGAGCUCCUGCUUUCUGGGUGUUCUGUGGCCUUCUCUGAGUGACACCCACACAUACACAUACACACCCACUUCCCCCAGUGCACCUGGGCCAUUCCCCUGCUUAGCAGCUGUUGGGAAGAAUCAGAAAGGGUCUGGAGGGCAGUGGCUGCAUCCUGCUUCGGCCAGAGCUCCACCUUGACCAGUAAGUCCUGAGCCCGGCCAUUUCCAGGCUGUCCCCAGGCCUAGUGGGAGGAGGAAGACAUGGACACCAUUCUAUUAGAGGCCUGGCUGUGGCCAAGCUCUCUGAGGGACAGAAGCCUCUAGCACUGGACAUGGUGGCCCAAGCCCCUCCCCCGCCCCCGGCGGACAGAUGAGUGCCUCAGAAUCCAGGCCUCAGGUCCCAGCACUCUCUUCUAGCAUUGGAGGCAGCCUCAUCCUAAAGCCUGCAGUCCCUCCUCACCUCAGCCUUGGGCCUGUCUGGCUGGAUCGCAGAGUGCUGGCGGCGUCCUCGUGGUGGAAGGCCCAUGGAACCCCAAGAGGAGCUCUCUCUGCCCCUGCUUUUCAGCCUCUCUAAGUGUCCCUCCUCCAUGCCCACUGCACAGCAGCCCCCGUCUGAUUUGCUGGGUCAUCCCUGUCCCCUUGGAGCCUGUUUCCUCACCUGUCCAUGGCAGAGCCAUAGUGGGGGAAGUCCCGAUGCUGAGGAAGGGGCACAUUCCUCAGAACGGGGACAUCUCUUGUCCUCCUGUCGGGGUCCCUGCCUGCAGUGUGAGGGGCUGCCUAUGAGAAGGCUCUGUGAGCCCCUCCUCUGGAGCCUUCCCUGGCAGGCUGCCAGCAGCUCUCCCAGGCUGAAUGAGUUAUUUUGAAGUGAAUGUGGGGGGUGAAUUAAUGAGCAGUUGGCUCUGGAGCUGUGAUCGGUGCCAGCCCCCAGCUCCCACCCUAGUGCCCAUUGGCUCUGGAACUGCCACUGAGCAUGAGCCUCCCUCCCCAGGGCUGAGCAGCAAGAGGCAGGCCAGGGGCUGCCCUGGGCCGGCACCUGCUUCAUGCCAGGGGAGGCCCGCUGUCCUGUCUCACCCAUCUCCCGUCCUCAGGCCUCCGGGGAAGGAAGGGGCGUGUGGUGUGGUCUUUCUCACCAGGUCAAGCUGAGUUCCUAGCAGGCCAGCCUGGAGAGUCCCCAGCAGGGCUUCGAGGCCCCUCCGAGGCCGCCCCAGCUCUCUGCUCUGGGCACAGUGCAUUGGUUGUCCAACAUUCCUAUGAAUCUUUAGCAGCAACAAAAGUUCGGAGCCCUUGCCUGCCGCAGCCGGCCGCAUUCCAAGAGGAACAUGCAGCUGGGGUUCCUGUUCCCAUUUGGCACACGAGGAGCAGGCACGGCCAGUCACACAGCCAGGGGGGCGAGGGAGUCCAGAAACCCAUUUCCUGUGCGUACCUGUCUACCCUGAAGAUCCCUCAAGCCACAAAUGCUCCCUCCUCCCUCCCUCCUCCUCCCUCCCUCUCCCCCCGUCCUCCUCCUCUCAUUCCUUCCUCUGCGGCCCUCAUGCGUGCUCUGUCCCUCUUCUGGUGACCCCAAAUCCUUUCCACUCUCUUCCCAGGGUUUCCUCCCCAUUGGGCCAUGACUGCCACAAGAGCAGUGGCACAACAGACCCAUCUCAGUCACCCUAGUAUCCAGCACGGGGCUGGUCACAGCAGCAUCCACAACUGUCCACUGUCCACUGAGUGACCAAGAAUCAAUGUGUGCAGCCCAGUGCGACCCGGAGCUCCCUUCCAAGCAAUCUGUUCCUCCGGCUUGCAUGCCUCUGGCUGUGGGAAGCUCACUCCCUUAUGAAGAAUCCGUUUCCACCUUUAGAUGGUUCUGUCCAUCUGCAAGGCUGGCCUUAUGGUGAGCCAGAAGCUGCCCCUCUGGAGCUGCCCCCAUGAGCCACACAGAACAGAUGUGCUGUCUUUCCCCGCUUCAUCCUUUCCUCAAAACCCCACUGCUUUGUGCUCCAGGCUGAGCGGUGGAGAUCUGGCUCCUGCCCACUAGCCUGGGCCACCACAUCCCGGCCCCUGGCUUCUUUGCUGUUUCUCGUGCACAUCGUGCCUGAUUCCCUACCCAGCACCUGUGCAGCCCCAGUCUUGGUAGGCCCCUUCUCCUCCAUCAAAUCUCCGCCCACCCAGCACCUGUGCACCCCCAGUCUUGGUAGGCCCCUUCUCCUCCAUCAAAUCUCCGCCCAAACAUCUCCUGUCCAGUGGAAGUCAGCCCUUCCCUUAUUCCGUUGCGUCCUCCUGUUUAUUUCCUUCACUUGCCAGCUCAUCUCAGCUUAGCUCAUCUUAAUUCCUUAAUUUGCAGUCUUCAUUUCCAGCCGCCAUGAGAACAGAAGGUCUCUGGAGUGGGGACUUCAUCUUUACCCCUGGAGCCUUCCACAGGGCCUGGUACACAGGCAUUCAUAACUGUGUGCCCAGUGACAUCGUCCCCGUCCCCAUCACCAUUCUCUUCAUAGAGGCAGAAGAGCCAUGAAGUGGCUAAAAACCAGGCCUCUGGGCCAUACUGUUGGGCUCUGGGGCUGAAUCUGGGACUUAACCAGUGUUUCUAAGCAGCCUUGGAGAUAGAAGCAGGCAGGGCUGAGAACGCUGAUUCCCCAUGGCUCAAGCAGGCAUCUUGAUUUUGCCUAGAAUUUAGGCUUUUUCUCUCAAAUCUUUCUCAUUCCCCCAUAAACACAGAAUCCCUUCAGCAUCUGCAGGGGAAAGGAAAUUCACAUGUAAUGAACAUCUCCUGUGUGCCUGGUGAGUUUGUUUGCUCUUCCUAACAACCCCAUGAUUGGAGCCCCCGCAUUACACAUGAGGAGGCUGAGGCUCCUCAGAGAGGCUGAUGCACUUGUUCAAGGACACCCAGCUGGGAGAGAUGAACCUGGGACUGGACCUCAGUGCUGUGCGGACCCAGGAUCUUGGGGUUUGGAAUUGGAGGAGUUCUGUGGAAGUUGGAGCCAGCAUGUUCUGUAGAGCCAGAAACAGGCUUUGGCUGUCCCUGAAGCCUGAUCCAAAGGUAGCGAGUUCCUCCACUGGAGGAUACCAACAACAUGCCAAGUAAGCUACCACAAAGCCUGUGCAGUUUACACGUGUUGGCUCCGUUCCCACUUUAGGAGGAAGGAAUCAUUCUUGGCCCCAUUUACCCUGAAGAAAUGAAGACUCAGAAGUCAGAGGAAGGCUGUGGGACAGAGUGGAAUGAAUAUGCAGUGAAAGUAGUCAUUACAGCAAUUCCAAUGCGUGCGUCACUGCUUACGUGGGCCACCACAGUGGUGUAGCCAACCUUGGGCUCAGGGUGCUGCAAACAUCACUCCACUUAAUGUUUACAGCAACCCAAGGAAAGUCGGUGCCAUUAUUGUCGCCAUUCUCCAGAUGUAGAAAUGGGUUCAGAAAGGUUAAGUAAUUUGCCCAAGGUCACACAGCUCGUCAGUGGCACAAAAAUGACAGUCACACGACUGACUUCAAGCCCCAUGAGAAGUCUCCAGCCGGUGGGGCUGCUGCUUCUGAGAUGAAGCAACCACGAGCCUCUGUCCAGGUCGGGAGCCCCAGUCCUCUUUCUAGGGCCACUUGUGACACCCCCACCCUUGUGGGCCUCAGCAGAAGGGAGAAUGUCCCUGAGGAUGUCCUCUGGCUAUUUCAACGACAAAUUGUAGAGGGCUCGGCUCUCGGUUUGAGGGGCCGUCUUUCCUGUGACCGUCUCUGACUCUCACAGGUGCAAAGAAUCACCCUUUCAAGAGGGUCUUUGGAUCUAGAAACUUCCAUACUCCUCUCCCAUCUGAUCAGCCAUACCACUCUGAAAAAGCAAUCCGAAGGAAAUAUUUUAAAAUUUGAGAACAGCUUUUGGCAUAAAGGUAUGCAUCACAGCUUUGUGCAGAAUAGCAGGAAACAAUUGUAAGAUCGUGAGCCAUGGGAUCAGCCUCUUGGAGGAGAAAGAGCUUAGAAUGAAAGAGAAAUGCUCACGAAAUCUUACAUGUACCGAGCAGAAGACGACAGAGCACCUUCUAAGCACAGGGGGAAGCAAGGAACAAAAGGGUGAGACAGAGCUUGGGGUGAGACAGACCUGGGGGUUUUUCUUUUCUAUGUUUUUUCCUUAUUGUCAUAUUUACCAAGUUUAUUUAAACAAGCAUUACUUUUAUAGUGGGUUGGGGGAGAGAGAGAGAGAGAGACCUUUAUUUUAUGCAACUAAAACCAAAACUGCUUCUGGAUGCAGACAAGAACCAAGUGUACCACCUGGCCAGGGUGCAGGCUCUCCCACCGCCAGAUCCUGUGAGGCUGACAGAUGCUGAAUUUCCUCAUGCUGCCCUUCUCUGAGGAACACUGGACAUCUCCGUUAAAAACGUUAUAUCUGGGUUGCCAGAAAUUCUUUCCAAAGCACUUGCAGUCUUACCUCAGGCUUGGCCGUGGGGUGUCUUGGCAGUUCUUUUGCCUGAAACUCUUGCACGUAUUUUCCAAAGCACAGAAUCGUUUUCAGUGGAAGUACCUUUCCCCUAUAGGAUCUUCAGUGCAAGGGCUGGGGAAAGGUGGCCAGUGAGUGUGGCGUUUCAGCUGGCUGAUGUCCAUCUUCACAUGAAGGGAGUUCAUCUGAUCCAGUGGGCUUGACCAGGAAAUUUAAUUAUUAUUUGGGUAUACCAGGGCUGAGGGCCCUUUCCAAGCCAGGCCAAACCUGCAACGUCCCCUGUGGCCAGGGGAGCCCCGAAGGUCCAGAGACCAAAGAAGGAGCCCAGAGCAGGCCAGGGUAGCCCCUGGUCCUGGGUCUCUUGUGCCCCCAGAUGCUGUUUCUCCCCAGCUGGAGCUGGUCUGCUGAGGGCCUUCAGGAAGCCUCCGGGGUGCCCAACACAUCAAGAAAGCAUCUCACGCUGGGCGCCUGCGUCUCCAGUCCUCGUGGGACUGUACCUGUGAGAAGGUGGAGGACCCUUCGGCACAGCCGCUGCCUGCCCCAGGGGUGGGGGCUGAUCUUGAGGGUGUGUCUUUGGAAUGGAGCAAGUAGAGCUGGACACCAAUACCAACCUCAUGGGGUUAGUUGGAAGCCGAAGAGCUUUCCUCAUGACAGGGAAAGAGAAGUCAUUGACAACAGGAGAUACUCAGCCGGCGUCAAUGCAGGACAGAUGCUCCCAGGCCACACCAGCGGGAGGCGCCCCCUGCUGGGGUCUGGAGGGCAGGACCAGCAUGGCUCCUCCCCUGAAACCUCUGCCCCUGACAUUGCCUGGCACAAGGCAGGAGCUUGAUAAGUGUUGCGGUCAAAUGAAGCAAAUUUGGCAAGUGGCCAGCCCCAUUCCUGGUGUUCUCCUUGCCUUCCUGGCCCUGGAGCCCCCUCCUGCUCUGAAGCCUCCGCUCUGCCAUAAGCCAGGUCCCUGCCCUGCCCUGUGUGGCUCAGGAGGACGUGGACAUCCCUGAGCUGGUCCAGAUGCCUGCACCCCUGCUUUGCUCCUUGGGGAGGACUUUGCCUGUUUCUCAUGGACGCUUACUCCGUGCCAGAGGCCGGGCCUCACCUGCACGAUCCCGUUCAUGCCUCACAACCCCACAGGGCAAGUGCUAUGAGGAUCUUCACUCUAUAGAGGUGGAGCUGAAGCUUUGGAGGAAAGGACUUGCUGCUGUGGGCUGAAUUAUGCCCCCGCUGCCCCCACAUUCAUAUAUGGAAGCUCUAACCCUCUAUGUGACUGUAUGUGGGGACAGGGUCUUUAGGAGGUAAUGAAGGUAAAAUGAUGUCAUAAUCCCAUAGGACCACAGCCUUAUAAGAAGAGGAAGAGGGACCGGAACUCUCUCUCCAUGUGAGUGUACAGGGCAGGCCAGGAGGAGGGCCCACUCCAGAAAUGGCCCCGUGCCAGGCUGCCCAGCCACCACCGCUGGGAGAAAUGAGUUUCAGUUGCGAGCUGCCCAGUCUGCAAUACUGUGUCAUGGCUGGGACUGACCACCACUCGCCCAAAGUCACACAGAGAGGAGCAACCAGGAUUCAAGCUCCAGUCUGUUCUUGCAGACUCAAGCCUGUUCAUGACCCCACAGUGGGUCUCCCGUGCUAGGGCUGUGCCUCAGUAGCCAGGUCUGUGGAGCGGGUGGCUUUUUUCUGCCCUGCUCCAGGGGCCAUGAAGCCUGGGUAACCUCUGACACACCUCCGGCCCUGCUGGCCGUGGGGCCAUUUCUGCUGCAGCAGCGCCCCCUGCUGGCCCAGACCACGUCUGCCUCGUGCCUGGCCCCUGGAGUUCGUUCCCCUCCCUCCAGAUCUGGCCCUCCAAGCCCUGCUCCUUCCAUGCCAUCCCUCAGGUUCUGCAGGGCACUGGCCACUUCUGCACAGCCAGGCCUUCCCACCCUACCCCCGAGAUUCACAGAGCGGGGUUCACUCCCUCCCAGGCUUGGCUUCCCCAGGCUGAGGGCCGGGCAGUGGCACCCUUCCACAGACCACAUGAGUUAGCUCCCUCCCCACCCAACAAGGCCAGCGCUGGCUCUGUCUCAGGCCCCUUUGUUCAGGUCUCUUCUGAAUAAAGGCACCAGAGGGUCCAGCUCUGGCCAUAAUGCCCCAGAUGAAGCUUGACAGGAGGGGAACUGGACACAACAGGCCAGGUGGGGAUGGGCAGCCUCUGGGCCAGGAUGCUGCCUUGGGCCUGAGUGGGCAGGGAAGAGGCGAAGACAUGCUAUCGUGGAUCCUCGGCUGGCUACAAGGCUCUCAGAUGCCAACCCACCUUCCUUCUGUCCCUUUGCACUCCCUGGGCCCCCUGCAGCCCAGGGUCCCUCACUGCCUCCUGCACCGGCUGCUCACUGAACCCCUUCCACCUCUUGGAGAGGGCGAGCUGGGAUUCUGGAGCCAGAAACUCCUGAGUCCCUUUCUACACAAACUCACUUUGUGACCGUCUUCUCUCUGGGCCUUCGUUUCCUCAACUGUGCAGUGGGGGCAGUGCACCCCUCUUGGGUGUGAAGGGCCCAGCAGAGAGCUCAGUGCAAAGCUGGCAUCAGUGCAUGUUUGCGCGAUGGACAGAAGAGUUGGGGGGGUCAGUGGCCUUGACUACAGGGACAGGGACCCUGCUCGCCUCCAGGCUGUCUUCCUUGCCUUUCUUUCCGUGAAGGGAGUGGUUCCCUCUGAGUGCCUAUGCUAAUGAGCUCCCUGCAGCCCCAUCUGCAUAAGGAGCUUCUGACUCUGUUUCUCUGGGUCAAGCUCAGGCCAUGGAGUCAUCUUAAGGGCAGCUUCAGGUGGGAAAAGUAGGUAGGGGUGUGGGGAGGCAGAUCCAGUUCCAGUCUUGAUUUCACCAAGUUCUUAUCGUAGAAACUCCUGGAAAACUGUUUUCCAUUGUCUGAGCCUCAGUUUCAUCUUCUGCAAAAUGGAGCAAUGACACCCAUCCUGUUAAAGGAGCUCCAUGAGGAGGUGCAGCUCAGAGUAGGUACCUCGUGCCCACAACCCCCAGUCUGGGUUGCAUCUACGCUCUCCCCCUCACCUCUCAGUUCCUUAGCUCCUCUGAGCUGCAGUAGCUCAAAAGCAGCUCAAACUCAGCUUAUCUCACCCUCAGCUCCUUACCCCACCCCAGUAGCUGCCCACCCUCCACUCACUGCACAGACCAGAAACCCAGGUGGGGUUUCCUUGAUUCCUUUCUCUCCCUCAACUCCUUCCCUAGUCCCCAGACCCACAGCCCCAGAAGAUUCCAUCCUCACACACUCCUGCUGCCUCCUUCCUUGACCGCCCACUGGACUGGUGCAGGAGCCUGCUGGCGGUUCCAACAUUCAUCUAGCUCCUUUCCUACCCUUUCCCCGCACUGCAGCUGAUGACUUUACCAGGCUCACAUGCGGUUCCUUGCUGAAAAUCCUGCAGGGGCUUCUCAGUGCUUCUAGGAGGAAGAACACUUCUCUCUGCUGGAGGUCCUGCAUUAUCUGAGCCCUGUGGCGACCCUGUUAGAUUUCAGGGCGCCUUCCCCUCACUCAGAGCUCCAGCUAUCCUGGACUUCCUUUGCUGGCCUUUCCCUCUGUCUGGAAUGUUCUUUCCCAUCCCACCUCAUUGCCUGGUUGCCACCUAUUCACUCUCCAAAUCUCAGCCCAGGCACAGCAUCUCUAGAGAGGCUUGUCCUGAGCCCCGGCACGGUUGAAUGCCUCUGCUGCAAGCUCCUGGCAGUCUGGGGCCUCUUCUUUGGGCCCUUUCUUGGUUAUUAUUGAACAAACCGUUGGGUGACCCCAUGGCAGAGUCUUCUCUGCCCCAUAGACAACAAGCUCCCUGAGAACAGGGUUACUUCUGUGCCUGCUCCAAUCCCUGCAGAGAAUUUGGGAUGAAACAGAUGCUUGAUAAAUAUGGUUAUAUCCUCCUUGAACCCUUGGGGGCCUUCAUUCUAUGUCCUGAGUUUUGCACAAGAUGUUCAGGCUGAUUGUUGGUUGGAGAGCUCACGGUGUGGCGGAAAGAAUCUUAGUCUGGGAUUCAGGAGUCUUGAGUUCUAGCCUUGGUUCUGCUGUGUGACUCUGGGCAAAUCACUGCCCCUCUCUGAGUCUGUAUUCUCACCAUAACAUAAAGGGGCUGUACUGUGCAA